UGGAGACACAGGACGUUCUGAGAUGG
RNAcentral lists this non-coding RNA (26 nucleotides) under Homo sapiens (human). Lineage: Eukaryota; Metazoa; Chordata; Mammalia; Primates; Hominidae. The record is from RNAcentral.